CCGACAGCUAUGUUGCACUUUUCUGUCUUACACCGCAAGACAGUUGCGCUUCGUGAGGACUGUAUACUAUCAGAACAAUACCAUCGGAAACAGAACACACUCGCGUACUUAUUUAAAACAUAUUUAUUUAAACUAUUCAAACGAUAAAAUAUGUAACAAACAAUCCUUCUGGUUUUCUCUCGUGCUUUCAGUCUGUCAAUCAAUUCAAAGUCUCUAUUCAUGACAUACGAUACAUAUCUUACGUCAAUCAACUAAACCACCCAUUGUUUGGUCUCCUACGGCGUUAUCAAUAAUAUAGUAUUACAAAUUAUUCUACACACUCCCCCCUUUGAGCCUGUAAGGGUCAAACAUGACUUGUGUUCUCCAACGUGCAUCCAAAGCUGCUGCUCUCCUAGGUCUAUUACUAUGAACACAGCUUUCCACCUUACCCUUCUCUCCGUCUUUCUCAUUCAUUUCCGUCUUUCCUUUCUCAUUAAUUUUCGUCUUUCCUUUCUGGUUAUCAUACCCAUCCACUUCAUUUUCAACUUUAUUAUCCUUUCUUUCUUCCGUACUGCUUCCGUUCUCAUUUAACUCUACAGGAUACAAUUUCUGAACUGGUCUAUUAAGAUAUACUGGAUUUCCUUUAGUCAUCACUCUCACUUUCGCUCCUCGAACUACUUCAUCUUUACCGACAAUUAAACUCUCAAUCCUACCUAACUUCCAAAAUCCUCUCUUAAGGUACUCGUGAAAUACUAAAAC
This is a non-coding RNA of Paramuricea clavata, 738 nucleotides long. Lineage: Eukaryota; Metazoa; Cnidaria; Anthozoa; Malacalcyonacea; Plexauridae. The record is from the annotation of a GenBank genome assembly.